Cyprinus carpio (common carp) is the source of this 332-nucleotide long non-coding RNA. RefSeq lists it as uncharacterized. The transcript has 2 exons. The record is from RefSeq and is a predicted model, not a curated record. NCBI's taxonomy places the organism in Eukaryota, Metazoa, Chordata, Actinopteri, Cypriniformes, Cyprinidae.
UGUAGAAAACAGAGCCUCCAGUGCAGUCCAAAGUACCUUCUGCUGUGGAAAUACUACCUGGGGGGACAGUCAGGCUGUGUCACAAGGUCACCAGCAAGACCUCCCCACACAUUCUUAGCAGCUCAAGCUCUUAGCUUCUCAGUGUCUGUAAUGCAUUUAUCCGUUGUAUGUAGUGUCAAAUAUUUCCAUCCUCACACACGAAAUGACCAUUAACUGUCUCUUAGCAAAUACCCUCGGCUUUCCUUGAAAUAAUUAAACAAAUCACUUGUGUUGGUAUUAUCAAAAACAAAACAAUAUUGAGUUAUGAUAUCCUAAAACAGGCUGCUGAAGUA